GAUGAACGCUAGCUACAGGCUUAACACAUGCAAGUCGCGGGGCAGCAUGGGGGUUGCUUGCAACCCCCGAUGGCGACCGGCGCACGGGUGAGUAACGCGUAUCCAACCUGCCCUUCACCACGGGAUAACCCGGCGAAAGUCGGACUAAUACCGUAUGUUGUCCAUUGACGGCAUCCGAUUUGGACGAAAGGCUUUGCGGUGAAGGAUGGGGAUGCGUCCGAUUAGCCAGACGGCGGGGUAACGGCCCACCGUGGCGACGAUCGGUAGGGGUUCUGAGAGGAAGGUCCCCCACACUGGAACUGAGACACGGUCCAGACUCCUACGGGAGGCAGCAGUGAGGAAUAUUGGUCAAUGGGCGUAAGCCUGAACCAGCCAAGUAGCGUGCAGGAUGACGGCCCUAUGGGUUGUAAACUGCUUUUAUGCGGGGAUAAAGUGGCCCACGUGUGGGCUUUUGCAGGACCGCAUGAAUAAGACCG
This 476-nucleotide ribosomal RNA is filed under the name Prevotella sp. oral taxon 472. RNAcentral describes it as "bacterial SSU rRNA". It matches the Rfam family "Bacterial small subunit ribosomal RNA", at positions 28 to 494 of the family's 1533-position model. Lineage: Bacteria; Pseudomonadati; Bacteroidota; Bacteroidia; Bacteroidales; Prevotellaceae. The record is from RNAcentral.